AGUGAACGCUGGCGGUAGGCCUAACACAUGCCAGUCGAACGGCAGCACAGUAAGAGCUUGCUCUUACGGGUGGCGAGUGGCGGGCGGGUGAGGAAUACAUCGGAAUCUACUUUUUCGUGGGGGAUAACGUAGGGACACUUACGCUAAUACCGCAUACGACCUACGGGUGAAAGCAGGGGAUCUUCGGACCUUGCGCGAUUGAAUGAGCCGCUGUCGGAUUAGCUAGUUGGCGGGGUAAAGGCCCACCAAGGCGACGAUCCGUAGCUGGUCUGAGAGGAUGAUCAGCCACACUGGAACUGAGACACGGUCCAGACUCCUACGGGAGGCAGCAGUGGGGAAUAUUGGACAAUGGGCGCAAGCCUGAUCCAGCCAUACCGCGUGGGUGAAGAAGGCCUUCGGGUUGUAAAGCCCUUUUGUUGGGAAAGAAAAGCAGCAGGUUAAUACCCCGCUGUUCUGACGGUACCCAAAGAAUAAGCACCGGCUAACUUCGUG
Molecule: ribosomal RNA, 492 nt
Filed under: uncultured bacterium
Lineage: Bacteria
Description: partial 16S ribosomal RNA
Rfam family: Bacterial small subunit ribosomal RNA
Source: RNAcentral